Molecule: long non-coding RNA, 2129 nt
Organism: Tympanuchus pallidicinctus (lesser prairie-chicken)
Lineage: Eukaryota; Metazoa; Chordata; Aves; Galliformes; Phasianidae
Exons: 2
Source: RefSeq, a predicted model, not a curated record
UAUAUAUAUGAGUUGUGAGUAUGGUAUGUGAAGUUUUGAACUCAUGAUAAAAUGAGUAUAUAUAAAUGAACGAGUGCUCCCCAGCAGCACAGGCCUUUGGCUGGGCUGUGCUGAGCUCAGGCCAGCAGAAGCAGGGCUGCACCCUCCGCAGGUGCUGUGCUGUUACCAGGAAAGUGAAAGCGAUGUCGUUUCUCAGGCAACAAAAGAUCAGUUCUGCGAGAAAACUGGGGCUUGAUUAACCAACCCGCCGUGCUUUCCUUAUUGCUAAAUAGCUCUGUAAUGAAGGGAAUGGAUAAAAAUAUCUUGAAAAAGUGAUUGCGGCGGUGUAGCUACGAAUGGAGAAAAAAUGGCGAGGAGAAAAUAUGUUCCAGAUGCAUUAUAGGCCUCUCUAGACCCAACUGCUAAUAUUACCGUAGCAUAUUUUCCCCUUUCCAAUCAACGUGCUUUUUCCAGUGGAUGCAGCCUCCUGUUAUUUGGGUGCCUGCAGUUACAGGUGCCCGGCUGCGUCCUGCAGGCCGGCUGCCUGCGGUGGCCCUGCAGCUCAGGAGGAAGGCUCCAGAAAAGCGAUGUGGCUCCUUGCUGUGCUCACAGGGGUAAGAUUCAGGAAGCAGGGUUAGCCUAGGAUGUGUUCCCUUCAGUUCUCUGAUAGCGUAUCCACAGCGAAAGCUAAUGGCGUUUUUACAGCCUGGUUAGCUGUGCUGUGUACGGCCGCACAGGCUGCAGCCUGGGUACGGUUUGUACAGCUGUGUGAUUGCACAAGGGCUGAGCAAACACUCGGUGCCUGGAGCAGUGCAAAGCUGGCUUCGCUCUGCCCUUGUGGGUUUGUGUUACGCUGUUGGGCCGCAGCGUUGGCGGGACGGCUGUGAUUCGUGCCCAUGCCGAGCAGUGCGCUGUGCUUUCACUUUCACAAGCAAGGCAUCUUUCUUCCUGCUCUAAGCUUCAUUAACAAAACUUCACAGCUCUCACAGGCAUUCCACUUCUGUCACGGCAAAUGUAAAACCCGACGAGUAGUAUUGCAUUUUUGUUACAGCGUACUUCCAGUGAACACAACUCAUCUUCUGCAUGGCACUGACCUUCUGGUUGGUAGGGCUGGUUGUCCUGCUUGCCCUGGAAUUCCAGCCAGGGAGUGCAUCCAGCAUGCGAGGAGGUAAUUUCCUCGUGGUCUCAGAGAGUGAAACCCCCUUCUUGCUGAGCUUCUGCAGGCAUCUGGUGGGGUUGGUGUCAGAGGCUGAAGAGAGGAAGGAUGCCUGCCGUGGGGAAGGGGAGUUGCCCUGCUCACCGCCUCCAGGGCAGAUCACUGGGAGGGAUCACCUCCUGCUGCAGCUUAGCAAUGGGCCCACAGUCCUGCGCCGAGAACAGAGGCUUUCACUGUCAGCUCCAUAUGCUCACACAGCUGUGUCGUUCUCUAACAUGAGCACAUCCAGCUUUUAUCCACUAUUAGUAGGUAAUCGAGUCAGGCACAGAGUUAAGCAGGAAUAUAUUCUGUCAUGAAAAAGGACCACAGAAUUUUGAAAAUGAAAAGCGCUUCUGCAUUUUGUAUUUUCCAUUAUUCAUCUGAUCUCUGAGAGCAGUUGCAGCUACACUUGCCCUUUUGUUUUUAAUGAGUUGCCUAUGGAUUCCAUUUCAUGUUCCUCCUGUAUAUACAGUACAUUUGCUCUCAGGGAGAACAUUUUUCCUGAAAGUUUUCAUCUGGCACAGAAGUGGGGAAGAAAGAGAAAUAUUUGAGCUAAGGAUCAUUAGUUGUGAUUUCUUCUUCAGCCUCCUUUCUGUGCUGUUAACAUCUCAGUGGUAAAGAGCAGAAACGUGAAAACUGGCAGGAAUGAUGUUCCUAUCUCAUAUGUGCCAUUCACAAGUCUGAAAAGGCUGGUUGAGAUAUAGGCAAAUUAUAGUGAUUUUUUUUUUUUUUUAAUCUAGUUAAUACAUAAUCAUUACUAAAAAAUAAUAAUGCUCAUAAUCUUCCUGUGUUCCUUUGGCUCGAUGACACUGUGCACUGUGUUUGAACAAUGGGAUGAAGUCUUUGGCUUUCUUGGGGUUUGCAUGUGUAGUAUGUGUGAUUAUAGUAUGCAUUUAUGAUUGUUCAUCUGUAUAAAAAUACACUUAUUAAACGUGGGCCAUGUGGUUAUGAUUUA